This 1755-nucleotide long non-coding RNA is filed under the name Salmo salar (Atlantic salmon). Its description in RNAcentral is "lncRNA (ENSSSAG00000091542.1)". The record is from RNAcentral. Lineage: Eukaryota; Metazoa; Chordata; Actinopteri; Salmoniformes; Salmonidae.
CCUUCGGCAAACCUGACCAUGACUCCAUUUUGCUCUUACCGUCCUUUCGGCAGAAACUCAAACAGGAUGUACCCGUGACUAGAACUAUUCAACGCUGAUCUGUCCAAUCAUUUUAAGAUUGUUUUGAUCACCUGGACUGGGAAAUAUUCCAGGCAGCCUCAGAGAAUAACAUCGAUUUAUAUGCUGAUUUGCCGACUGCGAGCCAAGCCUAAUCGCCCAACCUCACUAAUGCUCUUGUGGCUGAAUGGAAGCAAGUCCCUGCAGCAAUGUUCCAACAUCUAGCGGAAAGCCUUCCCAGAAGAGUGGAUGCUGUUAUAGCAGUGAAGGGGUGACCAACUCCAUAUUAAUGCCCAUGAUUUUGGAAUCAGAUAUUCAGCAAGCAGGUUUCCACAUACUUUUGGUCAUGUAGUGUAUGUCUGAAUGCCAAGUCAUGUUCAUAUAAUCUCAGACAAAUUACUGCAGUUUAAGACCAUCCAUAGAACAUCCUAUACCAGUGAAACUGAAAAUAUGCUCUCAAAAACGUAGUUCCACUGCUGGAAGUGUAAAAAAAGAAAAGGGGAUACAUUUGCAUAUGCUAUGAUCUUGUGAAGGCUGGCUGAAUUCUGGCAAAGGAUAUGUUCUUUUUUCUCAGCACGUCUACAGAUUCUCCCUUCUCCCUGUUUUUGUUUGCUUGGAAAUGUAGAUACUAGAGACUGUUAUCAGAAGAAACUGUGUAACCUAGCAUUUAUAGUGGCUAAGAAAAGCAUGGCCAUUAAUUGGAAGGUUGGUUAUGCUCCCACAAUAUCACAAUGGAUGGAAGAAAUGUCAAGUUAUGUAUCACUAGAUUUGAUUUAUUACAAGAUUAAGAGUAUACUGUGCAACUUUCUUAAGGUCUGGGUGCGUUAUAUUGAAUAGCCUACUAUAUGACAAAAAGGGACUGUAUUGAAAAACAUUUUUUUGUCGAGCAGUCGCAAAUAAAACAUUUUGUUUCAUGGCUCACGACACACCUGUGUGAUUUGCACAUGUCUCAGUGGACUAAUUCAUUGAGGAGGCUGCGGGGAUGCCACAGUAAAAGAAUAUUGUGAUUGUGGCUCAGAUGAACAAGGCACGUCUCUCUACAGAAUGCGCUCUCUCCCACCAUUUCGUGGGUAUUCAUUGUUUCGUAUUCAUUGUGCGCAUUGUUUGCUGACUAUCAAUCCCCCAUUACAUACAUUUUUACAUUUACAUUACAUUUAAGUCAUUUAGCAGACGCUCUUAUCCAGAGCGACUUACAAAUUGGUGCAUUCACCUUAUGAUAUCCAGUGGAACAACCACUUUACAAUACUUUAUCCUAUCCUAGGUAUUCCUUAAAGAGGUGGGGUUUCAGGUGUCUCCGGAAGGUGGUGAUUGACUCCGCUGUCCUGGCGUACAUCACCAGUAGUAUGACUAGUAGUAGCUUACAUUUACCGUUAAUGCUCAUAAUUUCUAAUCUGCAAUGUUUAUGGUUAUGGUCAUUUCUGUUAAUGCAUUCAAUAUAUUAUUAUUACAGUAAUUUACCGUUGUCAUUGUCAGAGUUUUUGCAGAACUCACAACCUAUGCUACACCUGUGAGAUACAAGUUUUUGUUUGUUUAUUUCAUUCCAUUUACUAGUUGUCAAUUUAUUCAUCAUCUUUUGUUUGAAACGCUCCUGUCAGUGUUAAAACUUCUUUGGGAUCGUUGUACCUUCCACGGGACGGUUGAGCUAACGUAGGCUAAUGCAAUUAGCAUGAGAUUGUAAGUAACAAGAAAAUUUCCCAG